This 450-nucleotide ribosomal RNA is filed under the name uncultured organism. Its description in RNAcentral is "partial 16S ribosomal RNA". It matches the Rfam family "Bacterial small subunit ribosomal RNA", at positions 332 to 799 of the family's 1533-position model. The record is from RNAcentral.
UACACUCCUGGGGAGGCAGCAGUGGGGAAUAUUGGACAAUGGGCGCAAGCCUGAUCCAGCCAUGCCGCGUGAGUGAUGAAGGCCCUAGGGUUGUAAAGCUCUUUCACCGGUGAAGAUAAUGACGGUAACCGGAGAAGAAGCCCCGGCUAACUUCGUGCCAGCAGCCGCGGUAAUACGAAGGGGGCUAGCGUUGUUCGGAUUUACUGGGCGUAAAGCGCACGUAGGCGGACUAUUAAGUCAGGGGUGAAAUCCCGGGGCUCAACCCCGGAACUGCCUUUGAUACUGGUAGUCUUGAGUUCGAGAGAGGUGAGUGGAAUUCCGAGUGUAGAGGUGAAAUUCGUAGAUAUUCGGAGGAACACCAGUGGCGAAGGCGGCUCACUGGCUCGAUACUGACGCUGAGGUGCGAAAGCGUGGGGAGCAAACAGGAUUAGAAACCCUAGUAGUCCCAUG